Molecule: long non-coding RNA, 5295 nt
Organism: Heterocephalus glaber (naked mole-rat)
Lineage: Eukaryota; Metazoa; Chordata; Mammalia; Rodentia; Bathyergidae
Source: Ensembl
GCCAGGCUCCUUCUCAAGAUCUCUCUCUCUCUCUCUCUCUCUCACACACACACACACCCCACCCAGCACCCUCACCUGUACCUCCACCGUCACAUUCAGGGCUUUGCUAGCUGCUGCUGCCUCCCCUGGCUUUCUGCUCCUGCUCCUCCUGUAGCCGCUGCUCAGCCAGGCGCGCUGCUGCUCCUCCUGGGCCUCAGGUGGCAAUGGGCACUGUGAGCCCUCCCCUUGGCCCCACCCCGAGGGCAAGGCGGGCUGGCCAGCGGUUCCUCGGCUCCCUGCUCCCAGCCAGGCGAAGCCCUACCUCUUCUCCAGUUCCGGUGCAGCUGCAGGGCCUUCUCCCGCUCCUGCAGCUCCCUGAGGACCCGGCAAGAGCCUGUCAGGGCAGCAGAAGACCCCUGGGCCCGCCCCCACCCCCUGCUGGGGAAGCCCGGCCCAAGGGCAUGACAGGACACCAGCUUAGGGCCCGCCCGCACAUGUGCCCUGAGGCUGCAGGCAGGGCUGGACUGGGCUCUGCAGUCCACACCUCCCAGGUCUCGGGCCUCCUCCGUGCCACCUUCAUCCUGUCCUGUUACUGAACCACAGGGACCCCGCGCCCUCGCCACUCUGAGCCUGAGGCCAGAUGCCAGCCCCUCCCCAGGCUGUGGGGCUGCGGGAGGCCUCAGGGCUGCCCUGUCCUGUACCACGAUCCCCACCCAUGCAGAGACUCCGAGGAGUGGGCACACCUGCUGGGCCCCACCUCCCGGCACCAGUGUGCACUCUGCCCGGGGUCACCAGCUGCGAGCCCAGGAAAAGCUGGCAGCCUCCACAGUGGCUGGGAGCCACCCUGCCCCACAUGGUGGGCAGGGCCGGGCAGGGGCCUCACCUGUCAGCCUGGAGCCGCUCCUGCUCCCGCCGCCGCUCCUGCUCCUGCUGCCCGCCAGGCGCCGAGCCUCAGCUGCCUUGCGGGCCGCUCCUGCUCCUCCCUCCUUCCUCUUCUGCAGCAGCUCCUGGUGGCGUCGCUCUUCCUCCUCCUGGGACGGCACAAGGGCCAGCGUCAGGCAGGGGUGGGGAUCAUGGGCCAGCACUGCACACAGCCGAGGGACUGAGCUGCCACUGCCCAGGCGGCUCCACAGCCAGCAGCAACGGUGCCUGUGACAUGGCACAAGCCGCUCCAACAGGGGGCGCAGCUUCCUCACUCACAGGGGCCUGAUCCUCAGGGAGUCUCAGGUGUGUUCACACCGCACACAGAGCAGUGCCAGCCCCAAAGCAAACCACAAAUCUUUGAGCCGCAAGAGAACUUCCUGCAAAGCCAACCAGCACAGCGUGCUCCCUGGAGGGGAGGACACGCACCUCCUCUGGCCAGGGCCCACGGGGAUUCUGCAGAGCCUGCUCGCUGAGGACAUGGAAACAGAGGUUAAGUAACCAGCCUGAGAGCACACAGCUCCUGAAUGGCAGGGCACAGACAGGAAGUCUGGCUCCAGAUGUACACCAGCCUGACCCUCAAACUGCUGCCUACACAGAAGAGGGGUGGGCCCGAAGCGAGGAGGCCCAGCAGGACCAAGCACAGCGGGCCACAGCCACAAGCCCUCCAGCCGCAGCGCCCACCCCGGCCCACGCACCUGCCGCAGCCUCCGGAGCCCACGCGCCUCCUCCUCCUGCCUCCUGCGUGCCUCCGCCUCCUGCCUCCUGCGUGCCUCGGCCUUUUGCUUGGCCUUCUCCUCUGCCUGCCGCUCCUCCUUGGCCUGCAGGGCCCACAUGUGCCCGCUGGAGCAGCCUCACUCCACCCCGCAAGCACCACGCCAUCCUGGCCAUGCUGGCCCAGGCCGCCCGCCUGCCCAGAGCCGCAGGGUCCCAGGCCGACCCCCAGGGCACAGCGGGGCCACAGCCUCAGCCCCUGCGCCCGGCACCCACCAGCCCGGAUCACACCUUCUCUGUCUUCUCCUCCAGCUGCGCCCAGUCUCUGCUCCAUCUGCUUCUUCUUCUCCUCCUUCAGCUGCUCCACCCGCUCCCGCGCCUGCAGCACCUUGCGGUGGCGCCUCCUCCCGCUUCCUGCAGGGCAUGGCCGUCAGGGCUGUGGGCGCCCGCCAGGCGGGGUAGGGGCUGGGGCAGGGCACCCACAGCUUCUCCUCCUCGCGCCGCCUCCGCCUCCUCCUCCUCCACCUUCUGUCUGCGCAGCUGCUCAGCCUCCUCCUUCCGCCGCAGGCUCUCCAGGCGCUGCCUCUCCUUCUCCUGGGAUGGGGGGCGGGGGACAAACCCUGACCUCCAGGCCAGUGGCAGGUACUCGAGCUCCACGCUCAGGGCAGGGACGCACCCAAACCCGAGGGUUGGCUCCCGGCAGGAUGCACAGCCCAGGGCCAGAGGCUCAAGCUGCCAACCAAAGCAGGCCCAAACCAGCUAAGACAGUGUGGCCGCAUCAGCAGUGCGCCAAGAGCAGUGAGCAGUGCAGUGGGGCUGAGGGGCGGGGCUGCAGCUGUGCUGCCCACACAAUUGUGCUUCACCACCCGCAUGCUGCCUGCCCGUGUCGCCUGCUCCUCCAUGUGCCUCAGCUGUUUCGCAACAGUUGAAAGAAAGAAAACACCCGGAUGCUGAAGAAGGGUAUACAGGCUGGGAGACAGAUGAAGGACUGUGGUCUUUCCUUGUUUUCCACACUGCCUGUGACACGGCCACAAUAAACGCAAGGCAACGUGUGUGUGGCACAGUGGAGCUGCCCGGCCCUCUGCAGAGCACGGCCCAAGCGGCAGCAGCAGCGACAGGCGGCCAGGCCCCAAGCCCUCCCCAGCCAAGGAGACGGGCGCGCUCGACAAUCCUCCAGAACAGCUGCAUGCUGCUCCUCUCUGCUCUCCUCUCCUGCUCCUUUCCUCUGGUCAGGAGCUUGGACAUGCGCAGCAAAGCACAGGACAGAGCCAGGUAACUAACACCCCCAUCUCCCCAGUGGGAGGCCAGAGAAAGAGGAGCCCCAGGGAACGGAAAGCCCUGGGGUGGUCACAAGAGCCUGCCAGGGUUCCGCACGAGUUCCACAGGCCGCCUUCAGGCCCACCUGGCCGCUGGUGGCACCCACAGGGACAGAGCCUCAUGCCCUGCCAAGGGACCGACCCUGGGGCCACAGACAGCAGGGGAACCUGCAGCCUCGCCAAGUGGAUGGGGAGCACACCGACCCUCAGCUAGACAACGCCAGGCCAGUCUCAGCACAGCUGCUGUAGCGGCAUCAUGCAGGAGUCCCCAAUCACUGAGUCUCCAAAGAACCGAAAACCCCAACUUGCAAGGGAAGACAAUCAACAGAGUGAGGGCGGCUGUUGCUAGAAUUAUCUGGGACUUCAGAGCAGCUAUUAUGGAAAAGCUCCAAUGAGUCCUCACGUAUAUGCCAGAGACACUUGGAAACACGGGGAACUCUCAGCAAAGGAACAGACAUAGAGAACCAGACAGGAACCUUAGAAAAAACAAAUGUUACGACUCAACGGAUAGGCACAGGAGCACAAUGGAAAAGACCAUGAACGUAGUCACCACGAAGAUCAAUGAGUGAGCUCAGCACGGAGAAGAAACUGCUAAGGAAGAAUCAACAGCUGGGAUCUCAUCUUAUUAAAAAGCUUCUGCACUGCAAGAGAAACCACCAACAGAGCUAAGAGACAACCUACAAUCUGGGAAAAAAUCUUUAGCAGCUGUACCUCAGACAAAGGUCUACUAUCUAGAAUAUAUGAAGAACUCAAAAAAAUCAGAUCCCCCAAAUUCAAAGACCCAAUUCAAAAAUGGGCAUCUGAAAUGAACAGACAAUUCUCAGACAAAGAAGUAAAAGCAGCAAAUAAACAUAUGAAAAAAUGUUCAGCAUCACUGGUCAUUCAAGAGAUGCAGAUGAAAACAUUGAGAUUCCACCUCAUCCCACAAAGAAUGGCUGCUAUCAAGACAUCAAGUUAUCAGCGCCUCUGGGAUCAGGGCGACAACACCAAAAGGUCUCUGCUCUUCCACUGGCGCCUCGAAAGGAGAGGAAGAAGAUGCUUAGAUAGUCGAGGACAAGAUGGCUGAGAAUGCCAAAUUCAGGGACAGACACAACCGGAGGGGAGUCCCAAGAAAUCGACACUGAAAACGCAACACAAAGGGGGGAAACGCCAGCAGCAGCCAGAAUGAAGGCUGCCUUCUGUACAGGGGACGACACUCAGAAUGGAUGAAGACGUCUCCCCAGCAGGAAACUGCACUGUGCCGAAAGAGAAACUUCACCUGGCAGUUUUCCUCCAGAAGAAAGGAGGAGGCAGCACUCUCAGGUGAAGGAAACUAGAGAACCCUCCACCUGGAGCAGAAGUCCUUUGGUGGCGGAGGGAGGGCACCAGAGGCGACAGACAGUAGACAGUGGAUGAACAGAGUUUCCACUUUAGUUCCCAAAGUGCCCACGCUGUGUGUUACUGGGGCAGCCAGACUGGUGCCAUCUGUCAGGUGACCGCAUGCACACACGUGAGGAAGGCACAGGGAACCGGUGGCACUGCCCACUUAGCCCCCACGCCUGUCUGCCUGGCCCUGCUGAGACUCACGAGCCCCAGGAGCCGAGACUAGGGACAGCUGCUGAGCUGGGAGAGAACCCGGGGCCCGUGGCCUGGUGGGCAGCCAGUCACACCCUUGGGUGCCUCAGUGGUGCCCACACCCCACAAGCUCCUGGCCGAGACGCUAGUGCUCCUAGGGCCACAGCAAGUGCAGGGAGGGAGGGCUCUACUCACAACGAAGCUGCACUGCGGAGGGAGCAGAAGCCACGUGUCAGUGCCAGGCAGGGCGCCCCAGCCCACCCCCCCGGAAGGCGUGGACCAGGCCCGCCGCAGCCAUGAGGACCCGGGGCACCCUCACCUUGGGGUCCACGCGCAGCGGGGUGUUGCGCUUGAUGAAGGAUGUCAUGCCGGCGCGGCGGGGGGCGGAGCCGGGCGCCAUGAGCAUCUGGUUCCGCUGCACGGUGUGCAGGAAGGUCCGCAGCGGCCGCACCACCUUGCUGCCCGCGCACCGGGCCCUGACGUCCCGGAGGAGGGGCUCGUCUCCCCUGCAGACCUCGGCCACGGCCUGCUCGGUCAGGGCCCGCGCCCUCCCGCGCCGGCGGUCUCGGGCUGCAGGAGUCCCGCAUCGCCCACGCUGCUCACAACCCCGGGACAGCGGCCGAGGACACCGAGGCGAGAGGGCGGGCGCCCGGGCUCCGGCCCGAGCCGGGCCGGGGUUCAAAGCUUUCACCCAGCCGGGAGCCUCGGCCCGGGCGGUUUAACACGCGGGGCGGGCGGGCCCAGAGCGCCGGGGGCCUCGGGACGCGGCACGAACACUCACCCGCCGCCCGCCCGCCGGCUCAGGCUCCCC